AUUGAACGCUGGCGGCAUGCCUUACACAUGCAAGUCGAACGGCAGCACGAGGCAACCUGGUGGCGAGUGGCGAACGGGUGAGUAAUGCAUCGGAACGUGCCAUUGAGUGGGGGAUAACGUAGCGAAAGUUGCGCUAAUACCGCAUACGAUCUACGGAUGAAAGCGGGGGAUCGCAAGACCUCGCGCGAAUGGAGCGGCCGAUGUCAGAUUAGGUAGUUGGUGGGGUAAAGGCUCACCAAGCCAACGAUCUGUAGCUGGUCUGAGAGGACGACCAGCCACACUGGAACUGAGACACGGUCCAGACUCCUACGGGAGGCAGCAGUGGGGAAUUUUGGACAAUGGGCGCAAGCCUGAUCCAGCCAUUCCGCGUGCAGGAUGAAGGCCUU
Molecule: ribosomal RNA, 386 nt
Filed under: uncultured bacterium
Lineage: Bacteria
Description: bacterial SSU rRNA
Rfam family: Bacterial small subunit ribosomal RNA
Source: RNAcentral